GUGGUGUAAUAGUGGGGACAAUGUCAAGCUUCCAUAUUGCCAGAUUCUUGGAAAGUAUCGGAUGGAUUUACAUGGAUAUAAUAGCAUUGAUCCCUAUGAACAUAUGAAUGAAAGGUGCCCUUCUCUUCCAACCGAGUACUUCCGUCCAAAGAAUUGCUAGAAACGUCUUAAAAGUUUCUUUCCUGAGGGCAGGAUGUGUAG
RNAcentral lists this unclassified non-coding RNA (201 nucleotides) under Hevea brasiliensis (rubber tree). The record is from RNAcentral. Lineage: Eukaryota; Viridiplantae; Streptophyta; Magnoliopsida; Malpighiales; Euphorbiaceae.